RNAcentral lists this ribosomal RNA (301 nucleotides) under uncultured bacterium. RNAcentral's name for it is "partial 16S ribosomal RNA". It matches the Rfam family "Bacterial small subunit ribosomal RNA", at positions 509 to 807 of the family's 1533-position model. The record is from RNAcentral.
CAGUAGCCACGGUAAUACGAAGGGUGCAAGCGUUGUCCGGAAUUAUUGGGCGUAAAGGGCUCGCAGGCGGUUUCUUAAGUCUGAUGUGAAAGCCCCCGGCUCAACCGGGGAGGGUCAUUGGAAACUGGGAAACUUGAGUGCAGAAGAGGAGAGUGGAAUUCCACGUGUAGCGGUGAAAUGCGUAGAGAUGUGGAGGAACACCGGUGGCGAAGGCGACUCUCUGGUCUGUAACUGACGCUGAGGAGCGAAAGCGUGGGGAGCGAACAGGAUUAGAUACCCCCGUAGUCCCUGUCUCUUAUAC